Molecule: non-coding RNA, 3951 nt
Organism: Pelodiscus sinensis (Chinese soft-shelled turtle)
Lineage: Eukaryota; Metazoa; Chordata; Testudines; Trionychidae
Source: RefSeq, a predicted model, not a curated record
GGGGACUUCCCCCCAGUCCGAACCAGUUUUUCCCUUGCUGCAGCUCGUAAUAAAACUGCCUCUGGCUACUUGUUGCUUACAAACACAGAGUGAGGACAAUGUUUUCUUCCACAAUUUGGUGCCGUGACUCGGAUGGCAAUGCCCGAUUGAAGACAGCGACAGUGGCUGCAGACCGUCCCCCUUCACCUCCAGGGCGCCAAAUGAGAGUUGAACAUCCUGAAGAGUAUCGAGCAUGUUUAAGGGUAGCCGUAGCCUCUUGUUACAAGACUGGGUUCUUCACUCCAGUGUAAAGCAGCGAUAAUGUAGCUGAAAUAAAACCGAGAUGCAGAUACACAGGUCUCUUUUCAACAGUAAAGGACUGUUUUUGGAAGUGCACACACAUUUUAUGAAUGGCAGAAGAGUUUGUAGAGUUUGGAGCUGAAUAUUUCUAGGAAAAGACUGCUUCCUGCAGACUGCUCAGCUGUGGCUUUCUUGGAUGAAGCUCAAUGAAGUUCAGGACUUGAAGUCAAAUUACAUUUGCCAGCAAACAAGCUGAAAUUCACUGCACAUGUGCGUGCAUGCACACGCCUGCACACACACACACACACACACACGCAAAAUCUACUGUAAAACAUGUUGCUUUUUCUUUCUCUCUUUCCCCCUCCUAUUUUAUCUUCCUUGCCAUUACCUCUUUAUUUGAGCUUUAUCAUGUCUCCCAACCUAUCUAACAAUGCAUUGUACAUUUUUGGCAAGAACAAAUGGAACAGUCCUCUUCAUAAUACCAACUAUGCAAUCACUGAGAAUCUACAAAGCAUCAGUAGAAAAUUGAGUGAAGUCAUGCGAAGAUAGCUGCUAACUUGGAUCUGAGAUUCCUGGCCAGUUCAAACAUUUGCAGGCUCUGAACUAGUUGGCAAACUAUCAGUGAGUUGGGGAAGAAAAACAUCAUAUGGUUUUCCCUAGUACUGUAUACUGGUAUUGAUCCAUUUUUAAAGGUAAGUGUACAAACUUUCCAAGACUACCAUGACACAUGGGAUUACUAAAUCAUGUCAGAAAAGUUAUUGGAUACAAAACUCUUUCUUUAAAAUUGUAAUCUUGUUGAAAUGCUUGAUAAUAAUAUUUGCUACAUUAUUGUAUUGUACAGGUUACAGGUAAUAGCAGUCAUAUGUAAAUGUAACUGAUGGAUUUUAAACUAUUAUAAUGUAUCUCAUAUAUGCCUUGAAGCUGUGGACCUCUGAACCUGUAACCUUAGGAUAUUUUCACAGGAGAUUCAUAAUUUUCUAGCAUAUACAACAGUGUAUCAGUAUAUAUAAAUAGGUACAUAUGUGUUGUUAGGGUUUUGUAAAAUUAAUCCCAUCAGGUGUGUCUAAUAUUUAGUAAUCUCGUUAAUCUUUUCAGGAAUAAAAUCAAAAUCAUUUGGUUUUUUGCCCAAAUGAUAAAAUGUAGAUGAGAGAACUUUACCUAGCACUUGAGAGAGAACAUUUUAUCUAGAUAGUAUAAAUGAACAGCUCUCACUGUUCACCACAAAACGUAUUUUUGUUUGUUCAUUUGUUGAUUUCUCUUAAUCCAUUUUCAAAGAAGUGUACACUGGAGAAUAUGAUGCAGAGACAGCUCUAUUAGUUCCCUUACUCAGUGCUGAGUAGCUCCAUGCGUUUUUUCACUGACUUCAGCACAUGCAAAGUUAUCAGAAUGUGCCCCAGAACUUCUAAGACAGGAAAACUAAUUAGUUAAUUAGUACAACAUCCCCUCCUCCCCCCAACAAACCAAACCAACAAAAUUUACCACAUUUGCUUAUAUGGUAGUAUUUGCAGUACUCUGUUUUGUAAGUCUAGGUAUUUGAAAUGCUGCUCCAAAACCCUAGUUUUCGAAAGCAUCAAUAAAAUGUCACAAUACAGUAUUGAAUUUUUCCUUCAGAAUAUCUUUAUCUGUCUCUGUUCUAAUUUGAAAGCACUAGGUCACUGUGCCAAAGGAUUUCAGAGACUGGAUCCAUCCAAUAUACAGAAUGUCAGUGCACACAUCUGACCAGUUGUAAUGCCCAGACCCAUCUAUCACACACCUGUCCAUUGCCACACAAUGGAAGUAGAAAAUACAAAUAUUUUAUAAUGACAGAGAUGAAGCUAACUCAUUAGGGUUCAUUAAACGAGUCUGUAUUUUUUUGUCAUUGGAUGAAAUAAUUCCGUGAAGAAAAAAUACUGUACAAAUGCAGUCAUGUAUCUCACAGCAAUAACCCCACUGAUAUUGCUUCUUACAAACAUUAAGAAAGAGCCUCAAGUACAUUAAACAUAUGAAAGGUACAUACAUUUUCUUUCAGAUCUUUCAGUUAACUUAGUUCCUGUGCAGACUGCUGUAUUGACAACCUUAGAGAACAGUGUCCUCUAUUUAUUCAAAGAACUGACGUAGCACAGGAUGUGACAGAAAAAGCUUCCCCAUGCUGCUCUGCCAGCAUGCCUCAGGCCCAGUCUGGAGUGUGAGAGAGUAGUUUGGUUUUCAUGCCCAUUCAGUACUUGGCCUUCUUGUUGAGACUGACAACUUGCGUCAACUGUGGUGCCAAAGAAGAGUUCAGCCACACUAGGAAAGGGUUAGUCAUUUCAUUGCAUGGGAGCGCUCACUCCCCAAACAGCUCUCCCAUUUACCUCACCUCAGAAUAACCCCGCCUCCUCAUGCUUCAGAGAGUGCUGUUCUCCUAUCCUAGAUAUUGAGGAAGCCAGCAAAAUCCAUUGUUCUAUUAAUUCAUUCCAUUGUUUUCUGGGGGAAGAGGAGGAACCCUGCAUGCCCCCUGCAGUAUUGGCUAGGAAAACAUCAACUGCUGCCCUGUGGUAAACCCCAAGUUCCAAUUCACUCAGCUUGGGCUCAUGCCAAUACGGGGAGAAUGAAGCUGACCUGCUGUCAGUUGUAAUGCCCAGACCCAUCAGAACAGCUGGCAAUCUUUGUUGGGACCAGGACCCAAAGGGGAGAUCCCUUGAGUUGCUAAAGCUUUGUCCCUUGAGCACUGUGAGCUAUAUCUGGGCAAAGUAUGAAAAAAAUGCUUUAGGAUCAGAAUGGUAGCAUUUGAUAUCCAUUUUGCAUUCACUUCAGACACAUGUAAAUGACAGAAUGUGUCAGGCAGCAAAGAAUCAGGCUCAGCAGCCUCACAAGAAUGCUUAGAUAGAAAACAGUACCCAUAUCCUCCACACCACACAACACCAGAGCCUUAAGAUCAAACCAACAUUUCUGGUUCUCCCAGAUGGGACAUCCAUCACUUUCAAGAGUAUAUCAUAGGCUGCAGGCUUGGUAGCAUUGUAUUCACCUUUUUUGAGGGAAGAUGUGCUUUCCUAGGUCCCCUGAACCAUCACUAAAGUAAGACUGCAAGAUCUGGCACAUACAGUAGGCAAGGCUGGGUUCGGUGUUAAUGGGAAUAUUUUUAUAACUCACACACCAUGUUUACUAUGUUACAGUUAUUAAGUAUUUGCUUUACUAUCAUUAGCAAACAGGAUAACAAUACAUAUUACUACUGUACCAACUGCAUAGCUGUAAAUACCUUAACUGAGAGCAUCUAUUCUAAAAUUCAGUCGCGCCAACAACAACAACAAAAGAGCAAAGUAUGCCAUUAUCAGCCAACUCAUUUAUCAAAGAGAGUUUUCAAGACACGAGAGAGCUACAGCAGUAAGGGCCUCAAUUCACAGAAGUGCCAUAAAGUCACUGGAAAGAUUUAUGUAACAAACCUCAUUUCAACCCUCACCCCAAAACAUCAUUAGCUCUAUUUGCUGUUCACAUUCUGCCCUGUUGUUGCUCUUUCUCCGUGCUACUGAAGUGACUCAGAACACAUACAGGACUCUAUUCUUUAGAAAAGAAUUCCAUUUAUUUUGAUUUCAUUUUUAUUAUGAGCACUUUCCCAACUGCUACUGCUCUCUGACCUUUUGGAACAUUGGGCAGGGACAAGAGAAUAGGUAACAUAGUUUGGGUUCUUUUUUCUAAGGUAAUUCCACAGGCCCUCUU